AGAAAUAUAUAUAUAUAUAUAUAUAUAUGCAUUUAUACACACACACUUUAUUAAUGGCAAAUUAAGUUGUACAUAAUUAUAUAAAACAAGAAUGAUUUUUAUAAAUCUUAACAAAUUUGACUUUGAAGAUCAACCUCACACAUUGCGUUACAUACAUGUAUUUAUCUGUACCUACCAGAUUUAAGCUUCAAAGCUUAAUUUAUAGCUAUAUAGCUUGAGGGUAAUGAUGAAUCAGAUACAGAUAUACACCAUCUUGGUGAUAAGUUUUUGUGUAAGUUAAGAAAUUAACAAAAGUCAAAGGAUUUCCAGAAAGUCAAAAAUGGCUACCCUAGAAGCUAGCUGCAUUGAAAUCGAUCCACCCUAUAAAUACUCAUCUUAAUCUCCAUUAAAACAUGCAACAUUACAAAACAUAUACAACAAAACUUCAGGAGAGAGAUCCAGAGUAAUUCAAGAGAAGCCUAACUGAGCAUGGCAUCGGAAUGCGAAGGUAAGGAUACAUGGCCUGAGCUGCUGGGGAAGCAGGGGAAGUUUGCUGAGGAGGUGAUUGAGAAGGAGAAUUCUCAUGUUGAUGCUCAGAUUAUAUUGGAAGGGACAAUUGUGACUCAGGAAUUCCGAUGUGACAGGGUUCGAGUUUGGGUUGACAACUAUGGCACUGUCACUAGGGUCCCCCGAAUUGGUUAAUUAAGGCUGGCUAUAUAUAUAUAUAUAUAUAUAGCUAUAGUAAUAAACUAAUUUAUUGAUAAAAUGAAAUAAAGGAGAAGAACCCUUUUCUCUCCAUUGCAUUAAUAUUGUUGUAUUCAACAUAGAAAAUAUAUCAUAUCUUCCCUUGUACUGUAAUUGGAUAUUUUAUACAUAAAAAGUUAACUUUAAUUAAUUUGCA
Ziziphus jujuba (common jujube) is the source of this 880-nucleotide long non-coding RNA. RefSeq lists it as uncharacterized. The transcript is spliced from 2 exons. The record is from RefSeq and is a predicted model, not a curated record. NCBI's taxonomy places the organism in Eukaryota, Viridiplantae, Streptophyta, Magnoliopsida, Rosales, Rhamnaceae.